GAUGAACGCUGGCGGCGUGCUUAACACAUGCAAGUCGAACGGGAUCCAUCGGGCUUUGCUUGGUGGUGAGAGUGGCGAACGGGUGAGUAAUGCGUGACCGACCUGCCCCAUGCUCCGGAAUAGCUCCUGGAAACGGGUGGUAAUGCCGGAUGUUCCACAUGAUCGCAUGUGAUUGUGGGAAAGAUUCUAUCGGCGUGGGAUGGGGUCGCGUCCUAUCAGCUUGUUGGUGAGGUAACGGCUCACCAAGGCUUCGACGGGUAGCCGGCCUGAGAGGGCGACCGGCCACAUUGGGACUGAGAUACGGCCCAGACUCCUACGGGAGGCAGCAGUGGGGAAUAUUGCACAAUGGGCGCAAGCCUGAUGCAGCGACGCCGCGUGAGGGAUGGAGGCCUUCGGGUUGUAAACCUCUUUUGUUUGGGAGCAAGCCUUCGGGUGAGUGUACCUUUCGAAUAAGCGCCGGC
Molecule: ribosomal RNA, 461 nt
Filed under: uncultured bacterium
Lineage: Bacteria
Description: bacterial SSU rRNA
Rfam family: Bacterial small subunit ribosomal RNA
Source: RNAcentral